RNA transcript from Coffea eugenioides, 2734 nucleotides. It is a transcript of the gene named silicon efflux transporter LSI3, with no coding region annotated. Lineage: Eukaryota; Viridiplantae; Streptophyta; Magnoliopsida; Gentianales; Rubiaceae. The record is from RefSeq and is a predicted model, not a curated record. The transcript is spliced from 6 exons.
AUGGGAUUUGUUUCUCCCAAAUUCUUGGAUUGAACCUGCAAAAGAAAUGCUUUCAAAGAAAUACUGCAACUGUAAAAGUAAAUAUUAGCUCCAGCAACAAUUUGCAUACAAUUAUUGCAAGAAAUGAUUCUGCAGUACCUACGAGUUGUAAAAGUAAGUUUGACAGAAAAUUUGAGAAAAUAAAAAGGAAAGAAGAACGUGGUGAUUAGUGAUGCUGAUUAAGCAUGUGGGCAUGACUUGUGCCUGCUGAUUUACCUCCAGCGAUGCAACGCUUAAAUUUAUGUUUGAGAAAGAGGCUGAAUCUACCCGAUCCAAUAGCCACCAAUAAACUCUAAGCUGAUACUAGAAAGCCACAUGGAGAAAGAAAGAUGCUGAUACGACCUUUUCUAUCCAGACUUCUGGGGCUCUAUUCAAUUUCAGACGACUGCAUUUUUUUUUUCCCUGGGGAAACUGUGCUGGACUAGAAAGGCUGCUCUACUUGCCAUGCCCCCAAUUAUCAGGAACUUAGUUAUGUGGUGAAGGAUUUUGUCUAAUACCUACUAAGUUGUGAAGCAUGGCUAUGGCUGCUACAGUUAAAGUGGUUCUUGGCUCCGUUGCCUUCGCUAUUUUUUGGGUUCUGGCGGUUUUCCCGGCUGUUCCCUUUCUUCCUAUUGGUAGGACUGCAGGGUCUCUUCUUGGGGCUAUGCUUAUGGUCAUCUUCCGAGUUAUAACUCCCGAUCAAGCCUAUGCUGCUAUUGAUCUUCCAAUUCUUGGUCUUCUAUUUGGUACAAUGGUAGUCAGCGUCUAUCUUGAAAGAGCAGACAUGUUUAAGUACUUGGGCAAGUUGCUUUCAUGGAAAAGUAUGGGAGCCAAGGACUUACUCUGUCGAAUCUGUUUGAUAUCUGCAAUUUCAAGUGCCCUUUUCACUAAUGACACAUCUUGUGUGGUUUUAACCGAAUUUGUACUGAAAAUUGCAAGACAACACAAUCUUCCACCUCAUCCAUUUCUGUUAGCCCUAGCCUCCAGUGCAAAUAUUGGCUCUUCAGCAACUCCAAUUGGGAAUCCUCAAAACUUAGUUAUAGCAGUCCAGAGUGGAAUUCAGUUUGGGGAUUUUGUAAUUGGAAUACUCCCUGCAAUGCUUGUGGGAGUUGUUUUAAAUGCUGUAAUCCUUCUUUGUAUGUAUUGGAGAGUGUUGUCGGUUGACAAGGACGAAGAAGACCCUGCAUUGGAGGUGGUUGCCGAAGAAGAUGUGAGUUCCCACCGUUUUUCGCCAGCAACUAUGUCACAUCCUACGUCCUUGAAUUCUCAGGAAUGGAACUCUACAUUGGAAUCAAUGAACAUUAGUAGCUCACCUAAUAUCAAUGGUCAUAGGAAUCAUAUUGAGACCCUUAGAAGCAGGGCAAAUGCAAGUGAGAGCGAAAUCCAAAAAGCCCCAAGUGAGGAGUCUAAUCCUGCAGGGAACUCAAGUCCUCCAAAAGAGCUUGAAAUUGAAACAUUUGCACAUACAAGGGAGGAAACUGUCCCUUCAAAAUGGGUGCCACCCCUGAAUGGAUUUCAAAAUGGGGACCACUACACAACCAGUGAAGGGAAGGAGAAAUGGAAAAGAGUACUGUGGAAGACUUGUGUUUAUCUCGUUACAUUUGGAAUGCUAAUAUCUUUGUUACUGGGUCUGAACAUGUCAUGGACAGCAAUAACAGCAGCACUUGCUCUCGUGGUUCUUGAUUUUAAGGAUGCCAGGCCGUGCUUAGAAAAGGUAUCAUACUCGCUCUUGAUAUUCUUUUGUGGAAUGUUUAUCACAGUAGAUGGGUUUAACAAAACAGGAAUCCCCAGCGCACUGUGGGAUCUUAUAGAGCCGCAUGCUCAGAUUAAUCACACUGGUGGAAUAGCAGUUCUUGCUCUUGUGAUACUUAUGCUGUCAAAUUUGGCUUCAAAUGUGCCAACAGUUCUGCUGCUUGGGGGACGCGUGGCGGCUUCAGCUGCUGCAAUAUCUUCUGCUGAGGAGAAGAAAGCAUGGCUCCUUCUAGCUUGGGUAAGCACUGUAGCUGGAAAUCUGUCCCUCUUAGGAUCGGCUGCCAACCUGAUUGUCUGUGAGCAGGCUCGUCGUGCCCAUCAUUUCGGCUACAACCUCUCAUUUUGGAGUCACCUCAAGUUUGGAUUUCCAUCCACUAUUGUCAUCACAGCUAUUGGUUUGACACUGAUCAGGGGAUGAUACCCUAUAAUCACUGUGAUAACCUGACCUGUGUUGUAAAUUUGGAGUCGUUAAAUAAAAGAGGCGUGGAAGAGCCCCAUGUCUCGCACAGUUUGUCUGGGGAGUCAGGUGGCAAGACAACGGAAAUACAAGAGUUUAGACUGAAGGGAAUCGAGUCCAAAGAGGCAAACACGGUUAAGACAUACAGAUAGCUAGCAGCUAUUCAGCAAGUAGCAUUAUGUUUUCAGCAGAUAAUAAAAUGUCAGCUUCCCUCGAUGAAAACAUGCCACGUUUUUCGUGAAAGUCUUGGUUGUGGUGGGAAGCUUCUCUCAACAUCAAGCAAUGAGGAGAUUAAAGUGGCAAUGGGAAUUGGGAAUUAGGCAUAAAGACAUGCCAACCAAAGCAUGUUUGGGGGCCUAUGCAGUGGUGGGGAAAAAAUGUUGGGAGGCUUCCAAAAGGUCUUUGUUUCUCUGUAGAUUCAUACAUUCCCCCUGGUACGCUUUGGCCACAUUUCCCAUCCGCCAAAGCUGUACCAUCAUCUUUUGGUUGAUGUUGACUGACGAUUAU